RNAcentral lists this Y RNA (99 nucleotides) under Aotus nancymaae (Ma's night monkey). RNAcentral's name for it is "Y RNA (ENSANAG00000007436.1)". It matches the Rfam family "Y RNA". Rfam says of the family: Y RNAs are components of the Ro ribonucleoprotein particle (Ro RNP), in association with Ro60 and La proteins. Lineage: Eukaryota; Metazoa; Chordata; Mammalia; Primates; Aotidae. The record is from Rfam by way of RNAcentral.
GGCUGGUCCAAGUGCAGUGGUGUUUAAACACUAUUGAUCACAAUUACAGAAUUUCUUUGUUCCUUCUCCACUCCCACUGCUUCACUUGACUAGCCUUUU